CCAGCAGCCCAGACAAAGCAUUGUGAACCUACCUGGGGAUUAGGCCUAGUCUUGUGGAAACUGAACUUAGCUUCGUGGGGCUGACAGCUCUGGCGACCAGGCCAGGAGAGGCC
Non-coding RNA from Procavia capensis (Cape rock hyrax), 113 nucleotides. The record is from Rfam. Lineage: Eukaryota; Metazoa; Chordata; Mammalia; Hyracoidea; Procaviidae.